GGAUGAAACUCACAUCGACUGUUUUGGUGUCCGUAGAGAGUACUCCUUCAUAGAAAGAAAAUUCAAGAAAUUACAAUAACCUGGAAGUGAAGAAGCACUCAGGAACGCAUCUUUUUCAGUCUUCACCGUUCAGCAAACGAUGUCGAAUGCUUCGUGAGUGGUGGAUGGAGGGGGUCCGAGUCCACCCCUAGCAAUCAGUGUCGCCCCUUCGCUGCUUUCACCGUGGUCCGGCAAGUGAGACGAAACAUGCGUUGCUGGGAAUUGAGGUGCAUUGAUCUGUUCCUCCCUCUCGUCUCACCGGACCAAAGAAAUCAUUAACCUUGCCGCCGCAGACACAGGAAACUACAACAACAGUAUCUUUCCGAGGUUAAUUAAAAAUAAAGGCAUGGGGGGGGCCAAGGGUUUACACCGGGGAAUAGUGCACUGAUUUACGAAUGAGCCCACUCCCAGUUGUAGAGCACAUUUGAAAGAUGCCAUGUUUGCUUUCGGAACUUUUCGUCAUGCAGUGUUUAAAAACAAGGUCGCCAGCCAAUUACUCAAUUGGUCAAACACUCAAAAGGCACACCUAAGGAUAAUUUUGAAGUGAUUAUUCGUCCGACCAUGAUUUGGGAAUGUGGGCAGAAAGCUUUAUUAGUCAAUUAGUCAAACACUCACAAUUUUGAAGUGAUUCAUCAUUUUGGGAAUGUUGGUAGAAAACAGAGCAGUAUGUAUGUGUGUGUAUGUACGGUCACCAACAAGACGUAAUGGGCAGGCUAACGAGUUAACGGAAAGAUGCUGAUUCGCAAUCGUGCUAACACGUGAAAACGGACUUCUAAAGGAAUGUAAACGAACAUUUGGAGUAACACUACAUUGUCCCAAAGGUUAGACACGUUUCCUCAAUUUAUAAGUUUUAUUUUGACUUUUAAGUGUUUUUUUAAUUUGGAAAACAAAUCCACGUUGUACUGAAGCCGUGAUAAACGAAACGUGAAGUAGCGAAAGAUCAUAUACCGUAUUUUCCGGCCUAUAAGGCGCACCGGACUAUAAGGCGCACCUUCAAUGAAUGGCCAAUUUUAAAACUUUAUCCUUAUAUAAGGCGCACCGGACUAUAAGGCGCACCAUUAAUGCAUCAUGUCAGAUUUUUAAUCCAAAUCAAAUCAUUCUCCAUUUUAUCUUUUUUAUUUCAACUUCAGACGGAACAAAUUACUUUAUAAUCAUAAAAUAAUGAUCCAUAGUCUUUUUGAGUCAUGAUUCAUAGUCUUCAGCAGGCCACUUAUGAUUGAUUUCAUGACACAAUACUUCGGGCCAGUUUGAAUUUAGGAAUUUGGUCCAUAUAUAAGGCGCACCGGACUAUAAGGCGCACUGUUGGUUUUUGAGAAAAUUUUAGGUUUUUAGGUGCGCCUUAUAGGGCGGAAAAUACGGUAUAUAUAUAUAUAUAUAUGUACACACACGCACACACACACACAAACACAAAGCAGAGCUGAACACUGUUUUGAGUUUACUCAUUCUUUAUGAGUUCCUAAUGGAAAACCCUCAUUAUGUUCAUCAAAGAGCAACAUUUCUUCACCCGAUAUUGCCUUCAUGUAAGACGGCUUAUGAUUGGAUUCCAGCCUGACACAGAAACGCGCCGUUUUAUUAGCCAACUGCGGUUGUUUAUUGCGUAAAUAGGUUAGGCGCUUGCAAUUGUGCGAGAGUGUGAUGUGGAUCAAACUGAUGGGCCUGUUGAGCGCCAUUAUUGCGGCGGUGCGCCGGUGGGGAACACUCGGGAAAUGAUGCUCGGGCCUGUCAGAGCGGCUGAGCGUGUCUGUGUCUGGAUGUGUGGGUAAUUACUGAGCCUCUUGCUGACUCACGACACACAAACAAGCAGGCGGCUGAAAAGACACACGCCGCACGUGUGCAGGUUUGAUCAUUUGCGCUAAUUCUUCCAAUAAAUACUGCCCAUUAAUAACAGUCAAGUACUUACCUUGAUUUUUUUAACAUGCUAAACAAAGUAACUCCAGUACUAGUAACUCCACACACUAUUUUCUCAGCCAUUCAUUUACUACUUUCUUAAUAGCUUGCUUUUGCUAGCUCAGUGAAACUUACUUGAAAUAUUACAACGUGACUAUCAGAGUAGCAUAAAGUAAAAAAAACUAGCUAGCUUGGUGCAAACGUGACUUCCAGCUGCAUUUUCACAACCCCUCCUGGGCUCUCCAGGUGGAGCCAAAGCAAUAACAAAUGCCAUUGGUCUUUUUAUAGUGUAAAUAAUUUACACCCGUUAAAUUGUGUCUGUUGGGCUUGUCUGCAUCCUUCAUUCCCUAAAAAGCAGACAAGCUAUUAAUGUUGGAUAUUUCCCAAAAAGAAAAUAUUCAAGCAAUAUUAUGCAGCAAACAAUGGUUUUGGUUCUGAUUAGUAGUUCUGCAAUUAAAUAACAUUGUGAUACAAUGGAAGUUUGAUGCAGGUAUAUCCUUGUCCUCCUCCUCAACUGGUCCUUAUUUCGAUCGCUGAACAUCGCCCGUGUGGCGCUGAUUUUCGAGAUGUUUUCCCUCCUUUGCAGCUCCGCCUCGGAGAGAUCAUUUAGUGGAGAAUCCUGCCGCGGUCGAAAUUAAAUUACAGAUUCGCCGUCUCCCAUGGCAACCACCCACGGGACUUCAUGAUGCUCGAGCGAGAAAAAGCCUGCGCCUCUCCAGACGUGAAAUAUUUGUCGGGUUUAUUAGCCUCUGGAAAUUGGCUUCAGUGGGAAGCAGGAAAACAAAUCAUUUGAAUACGUACGCGGGUGUUCAUUUCUGUGCUGUCACUUAGAAAACGGGGGAAGGGGAGGCGGCCCGGAUAGAGCGCUUUAUGCCCCUGACAGGUUUGGCUUUGUGCGUGAUGAAUGGGGCUGUCACACACAGUGACAGGUUUGUGUUCAAUACAUGCGGAUGUACAAUACACUCUGCAUCCCCGUGACAAGCUAGGAGUUCUUUUUGUCCCGAUAAUCUCCAUUUCGUUUCAUCUCUUACGGCCAGCGCGGUCACGAGAGAGCCGCUGCGAGACACUACAUAAAAUUGUGUGUUCAAAUGCUUUUUCCUUCUUUCCUUGUGUGUGUUUUUUUUUAAGUCAAUAAGUGUCUUUGGGAAUUGAGUGUCCAGCAACACACAUUCUGUUAAUAUAGCUCCCACUUGAAGCUCCUGCUCAGACUUGACACUCAAGUCUAUGUGAGGACGGUCCUUGACUUCCCAACAGGUGACAUGGAUCUACCCGAAUACAUAAGUGAGCACCUUUGGAAAGGCUGAGACAGAAUCCCAAUAUCUCAAAGACAGCUCACUCAAUAAGCCCCUUAAAACUAACUAACAUCUGCCGGAGCUCACCAAGGUUUCUGUACUUCACUACUUCUGGCUCUAUAGAAGAAGAAAAAAAAGCCCCUCAGACGUGGCCAACUCAUUUUGCUCACGUCUUUGCAACAAACGAAAACUCUCGAAGCUAAGUUAUGCUAACUCCACAAAGGUAAUGAAAGCAGAAGCAGCUAGCUUCUACAGAAGCUGUGGAGCUAGUCCUCAGUCCAUUGGGAAUUACAAUUAAAACUAGUCCAACCCUAAUAGAGCAGACCUUGGGAACCAGCACUAAAUCUAUUCCUGAAGGCCUCUGGAAGUCAUACUAUAUCACUGAGUAUCUCCAGUACAAGAUCGGCUCGGUUUGCCCAGGCCUUUCGAAGAAAUGCUAAUUCCGAGAGUGCAAGACUCUGGAAUUUAUCCCAACUCCACUUGUAAUGUCAUCUAGAACCAAAGCUAACUCCCUGGGAAGACACUACCCGGACAAACUCAAAUCACUUUGCUCUUUGGAAUAGAGCUAAUUACCUACAAAGGGAUCUAAAACUAAGCCAGUUUCACUAUAAUAUAAACUCAUAAUGCCACUUGAAGUCACAGUUCCAAAUUGAAACGUCUGGACCUCACCCAACUGUACUUUCUCGGGCGUAUGCAACGAACCAGAUCGCCAUUGGAGAAAACAUCUCAGACAACUCAACAAUUGUCUUAGACCGUCAGAAAGAAACCGUAAUCUAUUGGUGAAUACCUGUGGAAGUCAACUUCCAGGGGAACGGGUCUCUGGAUCAAGCCCAUUUUAAUUAAUAGAUCCAGGUCUCGUGAAGGAACCCAGUCUCUUUUGGUCAUGGCCUCUGCAAUCACCCCUAACUAGGAAGACGCGUAUAAGGACCCACCCUGCUCAAAAAUCUCUAGUCGCCAGAAAAAAAGGAAUCCUCAAGAGAAGACCUCUGGAGCUACAAAAUCCCUAAAAGCCUCUCAGAUGGUCUCAACUCGCAACCGGGACACUGAUAUUUCCCAAGUGAAGCAUUCAUUGAAAAUGCAGGUUUAAAGUCCAAAUGUCUUGUUGCAUAAUCAUCGUGUACCAUAACUCUUUACAUGGGCUUCAACUUUAGUGUUGAUGUCAUCUAAUAUUCCAUGUUUCUCUUGUCCUACUUAGGUUGCAUUUUUACUGUUUAUUUUAAAUGACCCAUCGCUAGAUGGUAAACGUUAGCAGGGAUAAUGCAUAUAUGUGAUUUAAUGUUGUAUGGGAAGAUGAUCAGUCCUCAUUUGUAUCUGAUAAUUGGCCUCACAGCUGACUGAUUACUGCAACAUCCAUUGUCAUUAAUUAGCAAAAGAGCUAACGCUCGGCAAAAUCCCCUUCAGCUCAAAAUACAAAACAAUUUUCCAUCACGUACUGUCCUCAUGCUGAUGUUGAACCCAGGAAAGAAAAAUAAAACUUCAUGGACUCCAUAGGGGAUUGUCUCCUUGGAUUGAGAGUCCACUCUUAAUAUUUACGAACUCCAGUGACAGUGUAAGUUAUGGCCGGGAUCUGGCCAAAAGACCUUUUCUUGCCGUUUUCACACUCCUGAUAUUUAUGUUUCUCACAUGUGUUUUUAAUGCUAUUUCCAUGUUCCAUUAAAAGUAUUAGAAAUGGUAGAAACUAUGAGUAAAACUAAGGAAUGGAUAUUACCACUUUUGUACGGUUCAUGGAUUUAGUAUUUUGUUAGGUGUGUAACUGAAUGUCAAAAAAAAUUGGUUGGAUACCUACCUAUUUUGUUUUUCAAGUCAUGGUUCGAUUCACACUCACAUUUAUUACAACUAAGAACAAAACGCAAAACAUAAGUGUUUUUAUUUUUUUUCAACGGAUUUAGUGACAUUUAAGUUAAAAAACAAAACACCUGACUGCUGGCAAAGUGCAACAUCAAUAUUGUCUCUCUCUCUUGUUCUUUUCUUGCUUUAUUCUUACUGGGAAAAAGUUUAUCCACUGAUGUCUCAAACGGGGCUCGUUUAAGUGUUGUGACAAAAUCGAUGGACCGUAUAGGGAUUGAACGGAUUCUGUGGAAUUUACAACUGAAUAUCAACAUUUAAAGCUUGAAGUCAAUUAAUCGUGUGUUUACCACGAUACCACUCUGUGCCAAAGUAGAAUGUCCAACCAACAAGGCAACACAGUCUUUAAACAACACACACACACACAGACAACACACACAAUUGGAUUUUUGGGAAGAGAAAAAAAAAAGGGGGGGGGUCAUGAGUCCAACAGAUCAGAUGGGUUUCGUCAACAUGUUAAACCUUAAUACUUGGGAUCAUUUAUCUUUACAGCCCAAACUCAGAGACUGUCAUUGAACAAACAAGCCAUUUCCUCAUUUGGUUUGAGAGCAAAGUGGAGCAAAAAGAUAGAGGGCGGGGGGGAACAUGCAUUGGAGGUGGUGACAGAGUGGACUGAAUUGGGGUGGGGGUGUCGUAAUGAAAUCCUGAUGCCAAGUGGGGUGAGGAGGACCCGAUGCAUGCCUGGGAGAAGGCGAAUCUCCAAGGUCGAGGCGUCACGGCAUCUCUCGGAAGACUCGGCUCGCUCAUCGCGCCGGCCUCAUUACCCCGAGCAAUGUUGCAUCGGGGACCGCAGGAGAAGCGGGGGCACUGCCCCAGUGCCGGAGGAUAGAAUUGCAGUGAUUAAUUUGUCCAAGGAUCUCCUGGAACGCGGCCUUCUCACGCCAACAUUUGUCUUCAUUUGCCAAUAUAUGGCCAGUGACAUGAAAAGAUAGGCCUUAAUAGUCCUGAAUGGAGGCCAGCUUUUCUUUCUUAAAAACAAAAAACAGAACGACGCAUAUGAUACCAAAACAGGGGAGAGAAAUCUAUCCAAUGCAUGUAGUGUGUUUCACUGAUUUGUGAAAUCACAAUAGAAUAAUUCUGACUGUUAAUGCACAGCAGUACAAGCGAUGCAAAGUUAACCAGUUGGAUUUGACUAUCAUGUGCACGUUCGUCCAAUGGAAUAGAUUAUUAAAAUAACAUUUUCAUAAUAAAAAAAAUAAUAGCUUCCAGCCUUGAGGGACAUAGAUUUUUAAUGUUGUUACUGUUUCACCACUGUAAUUGUAGGGUUUUCAUUUGGAAAAUUAGAUUGCUUUUGUAUUUUUAUUUUGUUUUUAUAUUUCUUUUGGUAUUUUUUUAUCACUUUAAUUUUCAUUGGAUUUUUUCUGCCCUUUUUCUAGUUUAUUUUAAGCAUUUUAAAAAACAAAGUAACUAUUUACAUGUUGUUCUGUUGUUGUGUUCAUUCAAAUUCAAAUGGAUUUUUGUAACAUUUAAAUGCCAUGGGACAGUGUUUUUCCGUGUCUGUGGAGCAGUGCCAGUAUUCUACCAGUUUUGUGAAAAUAUAUUUUGUUUGAAGUUACAAAAUUAAUUAAUAAAUAAAAAUUAUACUACAAAUGUA
Syngnathus typhle (broad-nosed pipefish) is the source of this 6657-nucleotide long non-coding RNA. RefSeq lists it as uncharacterized. The record is from RefSeq and is a predicted model, not a curated record. The transcript is spliced from 3 exons. NCBI's taxonomy places the organism in Eukaryota, Metazoa, Chordata, Actinopteri, Syngnathiformes, Syngnathidae.